GAAAGCCAGCCGGAAGACACCUACCCUGGCCGGAAGACACGUACCCCCGAAGAUCGAGAAAGAGGCUGUCCGGGUAGUAUGUAGCAGUCACGUCAGACUGAGACACUUCUUGUUUACAGGAGACCAUAAAACCCCUGCCCCAUCCUCAUUUGGUGCUGAGGCCGUUUUAGGCCUCAGCCCGCCUGUACCCAGGCACUCAUUAAAACAGCGUGUUGCUCCACAGGGCCUCGUGUUGUCUGUUGGCACGCUCUUGGGCUUGGAACCGAUACAAGAACCUUACAAUGAGGUGGAAGAGAGAAGCACGGCAGGAUUGUGCACAAAGUCUUGUCUGUUGUGGAAUGGAGUUUGGACCUUUCCCACCACUUUCAAGGAAGGGAAUGAAUUGACCUGGUUCACUUCCUAAGAAGGCUACUGUCUGUGUGGUGCUCCUAGAGGCAUGGGAGAGGAGUGAAGACAGAGAUGACCAAAGAAACACUUGGGGAAAGAAUGGAAGCGGCAUGUGUUAGCUUGGGAAAGGGAAACAUACCAGCAUCCGAGAUCUGGCCAUCAGGGAGAAUAACAAACACUGACGGUGGCAAGAUAAAGAGAAGAUUCGAAGAUGGCUCCAGGUCUCCAGCCAGGAAGAUGCUGAUGACAGCAGUGCCAGGAGUUGGAACAGGAAAUGGAAGG
This 669-nucleotide long non-coding RNA is filed under the name Homo sapiens (human). Its description in RNAcentral is "HSALNT0160710". The record is from RNAcentral. Lineage: Eukaryota; Metazoa; Chordata; Mammalia; Primates; Hominidae.